This 506-nucleotide ribosomal RNA is filed under the name uncultured bacterium. Its description in RNAcentral is "partial 16S ribosomal RNA". It matches the Rfam family "Bacterial small subunit ribosomal RNA", at positions 28 to 523 of the family's 1533-position model. The record is from RNAcentral.
GAUGAACGCUGGCGGCAUGUCUAACACAUGCAAGUCGAACGGCAGCACGGAGGAGCUUGCUCCUUGGGUGGCGAGUGGCGGACGGGUGAGGAAUACAUCGGAAUCUGCCUAUUUGUGGGGGAUAACGUAGGGAAACUUACGCUAAUACCGCAUACGACCUACGGGUGAAAGCGGAGGACCUUCGGGCUUCGCGCAGAUAGAUGAGCCGAUGUCGGAUUAGCUAGUUGGCGGGGUAAAGGCCCACCAAGGCGACGAUCCGUAGCUGGUCUGAGAGGAUGAUCAGCCACACUGGAACUGCGACACGGUCCAGACUCCUACGGGAGGCAGCAGUGGGGAAUAUUGGACAAUGGGCGCAAGCCUGAUCCAGCCAUGCCGCGUGGGUGAAGAAGGCCUUCGGGUUGUAAAGCCCUUUUGUUGGGAAAGAAAAGCAGCCGGUUAAUACCCGGUUGUUCUGACGGUACCCAAAGAAUAAGCACCGGCUAACUUCGUGCCAGCCGCCGCCGUAA